UACGAAGGGGGCUAGCGUUGUUCGGAAUUACUGGGCGUAAAGGGCGCGUAGGCGGCUCUGAUCGUCGGAUGUGAAAGGCCUGGGCUCAACCUGGGAAUGGCAUCCGAUACGGCGGGGCUGGAGUGUGGGAGAGGUUGGUGGAAUUCCCAGUGUAGAGGUGAAAUUCGUAGAUAUUCGGAAGAACACCAGUGGCGAAGGCGGCUCACUGGACUGGUAUUGACGCUGAGGUGCGAAAGCGUGGGGAGCAAACAGG
Molecule: ribosomal RNA, 253 nt
Filed under: uncultured bacterium
Lineage: Bacteria
Description: partial 16S ribosomal RNA
Rfam family: Bacterial small subunit ribosomal RNA
Source: RNAcentral